AGUCGGUCUAUGAACAGCGCUGGACUUUUUUUACAAAAUAACCUUCUAGAAUUUUAAAAUUUAUAAAAUAAUAACAAUUUAUUCAUACAAUCCUAACAAUCAAAUAAAAAUUCUAAUAAUUCAUGUAUAAUUCUAAUCACCUCACUUUUUUUCUAUUUUUCAUCUAGCAACCUCACUUUUUCUUAUUUCAUGUACAAGAAAAGGUGAGAUGUUAGACGAAAAAUUAGAAUUUUUAUUUGAUUGUUAGGAUUAUAUGAAUAAAUUGUUAGGAUUUUAAGGUUGUUAAGAUUAUAUAUAAUUUGUUGUAAUUUUUAUGUGGUUGUUAAGAUUAUAUAUAAAAUAUAGAAAAAUUUAGUAAAUAAGCAAAAGACGGUAAACCAUUCACCGACUUCGUUAAUUAUAUUAGUAAGACGGUGAAUCGUUCACCGCGUUACUUAACGCGGUGAACAAUUCAUCACCUUCAUAAGAAAAAUCUGCCCCCACCCCUACGUAGCGAAAGGAGAAUUAGUUUUACAAAUAUAAGUUUGGAAGAAUUAUUUUGCAAAUUUUAAAACUCUAUAGGGUUAUUUUGUAAAAAAAAGUCAAACAGCGCUGCCGGACACUUCUGUUUUUUUUUUUCAAAUAACCUUCUAAUUGAUAGAAUAAUUGUUUUAAAAAAAUCAUUUGAGCAAAUAACCCUUCUUUUGCCAGUCCACUGAUGCCAAAAGUGGUGAAUCAUUCAUGUAAUUAAGAAGGUGGCGGCCAAUGAUUCACCACCUAUUACCACUUCUAAGUUCUACGUUCGGAAAAUUCAAAGUUCAAAUUCAACUUUAAAUUUUAAAAUUAAAUAUCAAAUUCAAAUUUAUAUUUUGAAUUCAUCGAAAAUUAAAUUCAAAUCUUUUAAAAUUCAACUUCACAUUUCAAUUUCAAAUUCAUAUUUUGAUUUGAAAUAUCAAUUCAAAUUCAUAUUCAGACUUUAAAUUCAAAGUUAUAAUUUUAAAUUUU
RNAcentral lists this long non-coding RNA (984 nucleotides) under Ananas comosus (pineapple). Its description in RNAcentral is "long non-coding RNA (ACOM_LNC019669)". Lineage: Eukaryota; Viridiplantae; Streptophyta; Magnoliopsida; Poales; Bromeliaceae. The record is from RNAcentral.